This 253-nucleotide ribosomal RNA is filed under the name uncultured bacterium. RNAcentral describes it as "partial 16S ribosomal RNA". It matches the Rfam family "Bacterial small subunit ribosomal RNA", at positions 524 to 776 of the family's 1533-position model. The record is from RNAcentral.
UACAGAGGGUGCAAGCGUUGUCCGGAUUUAUUGGGCGUAAAGAGCGUGUAGGCGGCCAGGUAGGUCUGCUGUGAAAACUCGAGGCUUAACCUCGAGAUGUCGGCGGAAACCAUCUGGCUAGAGUCCGGAAGAGGAGAAUGGAAUUCCCGGUGUAGCGGUGAAAUGCGCAGAUAUCGGGAAGAACACCCGUGGCGAAGGCAGGUCUCUGGGCCAUAACUGACGCUGAGAAGCGAAAGCGUGGGGAGCGAACAGG